CACAGAAAAUAAAAACAGCCAUAAUCUCUCCGUACUAACCCCCACCCCCAAAAAACCACUUAUAACAUGUUGAUGGGUUUCCUUCCUGUCUUUGUUCUAUUUGUUUAUAUCAUUUGACCUAGUUCAUAUUGUGGAGGGAGAGCCCUUUCUUUAGGGUUUUGCUGUAAAGGUCAAGGGAUCCAGCAAUUCACAAGAAAAUAAUGACACUUUACAUCUGUCUAACUGUUUUAGUUUAUCAAAGCACAUUGACAUGCAUUAUCUUAUUUGGUGAUCACAUCAGACAGGCCAUUUAUCAGGAUACUAAGAUCAAUGGGGAGAGAGGGGACCGUGCCCCAUACCCCAUGGCUGGGGAGGCUCAGAGCCAGGAUUUGAGGUUUCUAAAUUUCUUAUCUAGAGAUUUUUACCCUAUAAUAAUUUUUAUUUUUCUAUCCAAUUAAAGUCUAUAUAUCUAUGUACAGAAAUUCCGUUUGAGACCUAGAACUUCUACUUCCUGUGGUUUAUUUUUGCGCCAUAGAGCACAUUUGUAUUUAAUGUGUCUUCUGGGCUACCAGCCUGGGAACUUUGCCAUCAUCACAUGCACAGCAGCAGUUUGCUCACCAUACACCAGUUAGCUUCCUCUACCUCCUGAGCAGCUGGGCUUGGUCUCUGGCAGCAGGCAUCUGGGGCAUGUAGCUGCCUCUUCAGCUGUCCUGCCAACAGAAGAAACUUACCUCCCAUCAUCUUCCUGAGUGCCUGCCUCAGCUGCCAUGUAUGUAUUCAUUGCCGUGUCUAUAAUAAAUCAGUGGAUUCUUGCUGGAAGCUUGGACGUUUCAAUGGAGAGCUUUCCAAACACCUAUAGCACCCUUCUGAAUGCAACUGGAAGUAUUGGUGCCUAAGGAGCUACACAAGCCUGAACCUCCUGCUACUUGCCAGAUGUAUGAGCUUGAGCCAUUCCCUUACCCCAUGGGGGGAUCACAGCUUCCAACAUGUAAAAUAGCAGUCAUAGUGCCAACUUCUUCACAUUAUAAGUGAUGAAUAAGAUAGCAUGACAACUGCCUGCCUGGUCCACAUGGGAGCUGGGCCACUGUUCUGUCCUCCCCUCCACGCUGCCAACACCAUGAUGCUGGCAGAUGUGACCAAUGCUCCUGCCUGUUCGGGUGAUGAUGGCUCUGAGGAAACAAAGAACACAGCAGCUCACUGGUCUCCGUGCUGAUGCUCCCAGAAAGAAGGCAGCAUUCUCUUCAUCUGCAAAGGCGAACAUCAGAAUUACACCUUUCAUUCAUUGACCAACAAAUUUUGAGGACCAGUAUCUUGUAACACAGGUCCCUCCUCCUACAGAGCUUUUCGGAUUCUAGAGGGCAGCAUGCACAGGGCAGAGGCAGCUGUUGGAGGCAGCAGUUCUGUAGAAAGAAAGGCUAACCCUGGCUUUGAGCCUGGUUUUACCACUUAGCAGCUAUGUGGCUGUGGGCAAUAAACUUAACCUCUCUGAGCUGCAGCCUCUUCACACAUAAAACAUACAUAAUAAACACUUUUCUUCCAAUUUUAGCAUGAAAAUUAAAGAUGUUGAGGGAUGCAUAGGCAGAGCGCAGAGGAUGUUUAGGGCAGUGAAGCUAUUCUGUAUGACACUUAUAAUGGUCAUUAUAUGUUUACCCAAACAGGUAGAGUAUACAACACCAAAAGCGAACCCUCCUGCGUAAACUACGGACUUUGGGUGACAAUGAUGUAUCAGUGUAGGUUCAUCGAUUGUAACAAAUGUACCACUCUGGUGGGGGUGUUGAGAAUAGAGGAGGCUAUGCAUUUGUGAGGGCACAAGGUGUAUGAGAUAUCUCUUUACCUCUGCUAAAUUUUGCUGUGAACCUAAAACUGCUCUAAAAAAUAAAUCUGUUUUAAAAAAUUGAAGGUGUUGGCCGGGCGCGGUGGCUCAAGCCUGUAAUCCCAGCACUUUCGGAGGCUGAGGCGGGUGGAUCACGAGGUCAGGAGAUCGAGACUAUCCUGGCUAACAUGGUGAAACCCUGUCUCUACUAAAAAUACAAAAAACUAGCCGGGCGUGGUGGCGGGCGCCUGUAGUCUCAGCUACUUGGGAGGCUGAGGCGGGAGAAUGGCGUGAACCCGGGAGGCGGAGCUUGCAGUGAGCCGAGAUCACGCCACUGCACUCCAGCCUGGGAGACACAGCGAGACUCCAUCUCAAAAAAAAAAAAAAAAAAAAAAAAAAAA
Macaca mulatta (Rhesus monkey) is the source of this 2193-nucleotide non-coding RNA. The record is from RefSeq and is a predicted model, not a curated record. NCBI's taxonomy places the organism in Eukaryota, Metazoa, Chordata, Mammalia, Primates, Cercopithecidae.